RNAcentral lists this long non-coding RNA (2154 nucleotides) under Macaca fascicularis (crab-eating macaque). Its description in RNAcentral is "lncRNA (ENSMFAG00000048235.1)". Lineage: Eukaryota; Metazoa; Chordata; Mammalia; Primates; Cercopithecidae. The record is from RNAcentral.
UCAGGAAUCAUUAUAUAUUGGUGUGUGAGAGAGAUAUGGGAUAAGUGGAGAGUGGAGAGCAGAAAGCUAUCAGUUAAAUAUGUAAUUAUAAUCUAAAUCAAGAAAAACAUAUUAGGAGAUCAAUGAUAAAUGGCUGUUCAUAUCAUUAUGGUAUGAAAAAAGCUUCAUCAAAACAUCAGAAUGUUAAACCAAAUUCCACUCAAAGGAAAUCAAAUAGUUACAGAAUCAAAAAGUGACACCUCAGAAAAAUUAAUUCUCUGUAAAAUGUGCUAACAGAAUUUAGCAUUCCUACAGUUCCUUUAUGAAACACAGUAAUUUCCAGCUUAGGCUAUGCUCAUUUUAAUAAUCUUUAAGAAUUGCAUUCUAAAUAAUGAAAAAUUUUUAUAUGUCUACAAAAAAUGUAGUUAUAUUCCAAUUCCCUGGUGGUGUCACAGGCAUCAACAGUGACAUUCUCCUGCAUGGCAGAGUGUUAUUAAACUUCAACCUCAAGAUCAAUUGAGACUAAAAAGGACACAAAGCUCUGUCUCUUAUAAGAGAGUGGAACAUACACUGCAAUUUCAACCUGAGAAAACAUCUUCAAUGAAGUACACAUCUAGUUGUUCAAACUCCAAAUGACAUGUUAGGUUUUUGAAGGUUGGUUGAUAGAUAAUACAAUCUAACCAAUAGGUAUAUUUUUAAUGCAUAGUUUGCUUUUUGUUUUUUUAAGUAAAAAUUGGCCCCUCAUUCCUAUCGAGUAAAUCUCUCAGAAAUACCAUUUUCAGUGACUCAUCUUCCAGCGAGGAAAGUUACAUACUUGUUUGUGAAGCAGUGGUUUUUAGACUUCUCCUGAGUCAUAGACUCUUCGGAGAAAUUAAAGUUCUACAUUCCUUAAAUGAAAGAUUCUAUAUGGCAGGCCAAUGUGCAUCUUCUCCAUAUCAAAAUGAAAAAGGAAUAGAUCUGCCUACGUGUGUGCACAUGUAUUCAGAGAAAAACAAAUAUUGUGAAAUCAUUUCUAAAACACUGAGUUACUAAUGUCCUGUUGGAGGGUUUCCAUGAUUUCGUCAUAUUUUGACAAUGCAACUUUUAUGAACUUUGGGGUCCCAAAGUAAGAAACUCUAAAGUAAUAGGAAUGGGAAUGAGUUCUACAGAAAUCCUGUUGAGUAUAGACAAUCAGCAAUCAUAAACUCAAUUCAGUUUGAGAUUUGCAUUAUUUCUAUGCAAAGUAAUUAAGAUUUGAAAACAAUUUUUAGAUAUAAGUUCAAUCAUUCUUGUAAUACUUCUUUAGGAUUUACAAACCAUUUUGUUCAUUAACAAGAAUUUAAUUUACUUUUCAUAGGAAGUAAAUAUAAUUGAGAAAUUUCUACAUCUCCAAACGCUGUCUUUCAUUUACUCUGGUUUCAUCUUUAUGUGUUAAAAUAUUACCCUAGUGUCCUCCACCUGAGGGAUGCCAUCCUCUUGUUCCUCCCGCUACAUCCCUCUUUCAAUCUCAGACUUCCUAAAGGGCUUAUGUGUCCUGAAGGAGAUGGUGUUCUCCACGUACCACCACCGUGAAAAGACGGUUUGUUGGCUUGUUCUACUUUUAUCGCUUUUCCAUGCAAAAACUAAAAGUAUUAAGUAUACUAUCAAUACAAUUGUUACAUUUAACCUAAACACAUUUUACAAACAUUCUUCAACAACCGUAUUUCAGGUCCAGAUGUUUUCUUUGAAACAAACUUUUUUCUUUUUUUUUUUUUUCCUGAAAUGACCACACCAUUCACAAGGUGAAACUUGAGAUAUUUACGGAGUACAUGCCCUUCCAUGAAGGGAUUCACACAUAUUCCAUUAUUCAAAUUUCUUGAAAGGCCUCCAGUGUUAAAAAAUAACACCUCAAGAAAAAUUAACCUGUCAUAAAUUCUAUAAGACAAGGUAGCACAUCUUUUUUUACAAUGCAUAAUAUACUUCAUCUUUGCAUCCACAUCAUUAACUAAAAAACGUCAGUGUCUCAGGUGUAUAUGAAAGAAUGUCUCAUUAGAAAAGUAAGGUUAUUGUCCAGACGUGGUGUCUCAUGCCUGUAAUCCCAGCACUUUGGAAGGCUGAGGUGGGCAGAUCAUGAGGUCAGGAGAUGAAGACCAUCCUGGUUAACACCGUGAAACCCGAAUUUCUACUACAGGAAAAAAAAAAAAAAAAAAAAAAAAA